This 22-nucleotide microRNA is filed under the name Drosophila pseudoobscura. RNAcentral's name for it is "dps-miR-2534". Lineage: Eukaryota; Metazoa; Arthropoda; Insecta; Diptera; Drosophilidae. The record is from miRBase by way of RNAcentral.
GCCGCUUGGGUCUUGCCUGGGG